UCCCCAAGCUACUAGACUACUUGUGUCAGCGGGGGGAAAGCUGUUAGGAACCGGCGCAAACAUAAAUGAAGGAGAGUGCGUGAAGUAUCCUAAAAAAGAUUCACCACAUCAUUAAAACCAUCAACGAGAGCCUUCUCAUGGCCAACGUCAUAAUAAGAGUUGACAUGGAAGAGUAGGCUGCAUAUUCCCACCGAAAGGGAAUAAACUGAUAGGCAAGAAGAGACGCAAGCACUUAUCAGUUGAGACUGUACAAGAUGGCAGCCAGUCGUCACAAAGCAAGGUCUGCAGCGCGGGCAAAUGUUACUCACUAAUAUGGAGCUUACGGUGUUGAUCGCUAUUAUUGCCGCCCAUUCACUACUUUGUGCAGUUGCAACAGUUGUUCAUGUACCAGUGCUUCUAGAUGGCAGAGGGGUUCCCACUUUUUGGAGAGCCAGUUGGGUUCAGGAUGGAGCGCUGCUUUUAGAGUGAAGAACGCUGCUCCUCCAGUACUCUGUGAAUGUCCGCGUGAUGCAAAGGACAACUACCGAAAAGUCGGGGAUGAAGAAAGAACGGAGGUGCACUUUAAAGGCACAACUUUGUCUGUGAAAAUUCUGUGUCGCUUCUGUGUCACUGGAUCAUUAGUGGUUCAUACGCAGUUCUCGAGCAAUGAUGUGGCACCACUAUAAAAAAUUUACUGAAUAAUAAAAGCCUUUAAACUUAA
Non-coding RNA from Dermacentor andersoni, 700 nucleotides. The record is from RefSeq and is a predicted model, not a curated record. NCBI's taxonomy places the organism in Eukaryota, Metazoa, Arthropoda, Arachnida, Ixodida, Ixodidae.